This 74-nucleotide transfer RNA is filed under the name Bacillus cereus group sp. N14. RNAcentral's name for it is "tRNA-Arg". It matches the Rfam family "tRNA". From Rfam's summary of the family: Transfer RNA (tRNA) molecules are approximately 80 nucleotides in length. Their secondary structure includes four short double-helical elements and three loops (D, anti-codon, and T loops). The record is from RNAcentral. Lineage: Bacteria; Bacillati; Bacillota; Bacilli; Caryophanales; Bacillaceae.
GCGCCCGUAGCUCAAUUGGAUAGAGCGGUUGACUACGGAUCAAGAGGUUAGGGGUUCGCCUCCUCUCGGGCGCG